Molecule: ribosomal RNA, 629 nt
Filed under: Escherichia coli
Lineage: Bacteria; Pseudomonadati; Pseudomonadota; Gammaproteobacteria; Enterobacterales; Enterobacteriaceae
Description: partial 23S ribosomal RNA
Rfam family: Bacterial large subunit ribosomal RNA
Source: RNAcentral
GGGUAGUUUGACUGGGGCGGUCUCCUCCUAAAGAGUAACGGAGGAGCACGAAGGUUGGCUAAUCCUGGUCGGACAUCAGGAGGUUAGUGCAAUGGCAUAAGCCAGCUUGACUGCGAGCGUGACGGCGCGAGCAGGUGCGAAAGCAGGUCAUAGUGAUCCGGUGGUUCUGAAUGGAAGGGCCAUCGCUCAACGGAUAAAAGGUACUCCGGGGAUAACAGGCUGAUACCGCCCAAGAGUUCAUAUCGACGGCGGUGUUUGGCACCUCGAUGUCGGCUCAUCACAUCCUGGGGCUGAAGUAGGUCCCAAGGGUAUGGCUGUUCGCCAUUUAAAGUGGUACGCGAGCUGGGUUUAGAACGUCGUGAGACAGUUCGGUCCCUAUCUGCCGUGGGCGCUGGAGAACUGAGGGGGGCUGCUCCUAGUACGAGAGGACCGGAGUGGACGCAUCACUGGUGUUCGGGUUGUCAUGCCAAUGGCACUGCCCGGUAGCUAAAUGCGGAAGAGAUAAGUGCUGAAAGCAUCUAAGCACGAAACUUGCCCCGAGAUGAGUUCUCCCUGACUCCUUGAGAGUCCUGAAGGAACGUUGAAGACGACGACGUUGAUAGGCCGGGUGUGUAAGCGCAGCGAUGCGU